GUCUAAUUCAAUUUCCAAGAAGCCUCGUCAUAGUUGGAAGAAAAAACAUAGAUCUGAAGACUAUGCUGGCAGUGAUUUGAGUUUGCAUGCUUUAAGUACAAAAGAUGAGGUAGGUUGUAAUGACACUACUAUCAACAUUCCUAUAACUCAUGUUGAGUCUGGGAAGACUGGCCAAAGUUUUAGAGUUGGAGAUCGCAUUCAAAAGGUUGCUUACAAAU
This 218-nucleotide unclassified non-coding RNA is filed under the name Hevea brasiliensis (rubber tree). The record is from RNAcentral. Lineage: Eukaryota; Viridiplantae; Streptophyta; Magnoliopsida; Malpighiales; Euphorbiaceae.